Molecule: long non-coding RNA, 1123 nt
Organism: Alligator mississippiensis (American alligator)
Lineage: Eukaryota; Metazoa; Chordata; Crocodylia; Alligatoridae
Exons: 6
Source: RefSeq, a predicted model, not a curated record
CAGGUAAAGAAGCUGUAGUAGGAGGUUUGCUUCCAUGGCAGGCUCUGAAGCAGAGACAGGAUGGGGGCAUGUUGUAAAAUCAUCUUUUAAGGCCUGUGACUGAAUACAAAUUGACUGCAGUGCUGAAGAGUGAAUAGGAACACAUACUGAGCAAGACGGACAAGAUCCCUGGAUAUUGGGAACAGAACAUGCUACUGGCUUUGCAGAGUUCUGAACUGAUCUUCAAUGUGGGACGAAUCCUCAUGCACACUUUGAAAAAGUACAAAUGCUGAGUAUCAAACAACUUGUCUACUUUGAUUAACAACACAGGAUAAAAUCUUAGCUUAAACUAUCCAGAGAGAUUCUGUUAUGAAUGAGGAUUUUACCUUUCAGGACUCCACCGGCCUUGAUCAAGUCAAGUGUGUGUCCAGUUGCAUAAUGAGAAUGAGAGUCCUUCAUAUGUUAUCAACAGGCAACAGGAGACAGAGGAGAGGACGUUUGAGCCAAAAGAGCACAACAAAUAGGAGGCUAGUGUUAGAUGAACAGAGCAAAGGUCAAGUAGAGUAAGUUCAAAGAGAAGAUUACCUUUCUAUUCUUAUAAGUCACAGAGACUAAUAAAGAGCUAAAAGAUUAUGUAGCUUUGAGACGUUCCAUUUGGUAAAAUUUAGAGUUCCAAAUAGUUUUGCCAUUUUAGUGGUAUUCUGGGCUUUGCCCUUGUUCUAAACCAGUAAUAUGUAAUGAAAAAAAAAUUGCUUAAAUGUCAUGUCACCAUUUUAUCCCAGGGCCAUCUGUUUAUAUAGUUUCUCUUGAACCUUUUUCCUACUAUCAUUUAAUUUAAAGUAUUGUAGCAGAUGGUGUAGAAACCAUCUCAUAAAGUACAUUCGUCUUUCUUUGCUUAUAGGAAAUCUUUAAAAUUUUGCCCAUAGAUCAUUGUUAACUAGCUUCGCUAUAUAAAAAUAGAGAAAUAUGCUAAGAAGAAUUAAUGGGACAAGUCCUUUAGCCCCUGCUUUUUAUUUUUUAAUGCCCUCUUAUUCAAAGCUAAUUCUCAGCUAAACAAAUGGGAGCAUUACCAGAGCAAGAAUUGACUACAAAGAGUGUUAAGAUUUAGGAAAUUGCUAUAAUAAAGGUAAAAUAUUUUCCAAAC